ACCUUGUGCUUUUGGAGCGGCCGAUGCCUGAUUAGCUAGUUGGUGGGGUAAAGGCCUACCAAGGCUUCGAUCAGUAGUUGGUCUGAGAGGACGACCAGCCACACUGGGACUGAGACACGGCCCAGACUCCUACGGGAGGCAGCAGUGGGGAAUUUUGGACAAUGGGCGCAAGCCUGAUCCAGCCACGCCGCGUGAGUGAAGAAGGCCUUCGGGUUGUAAAGCUCUUUCAGUCGGGAAGAAAAGGUUGCGACUAAUACUCGCAAUUCCUGACGGUACCGGAAGAAGAAGCGCCGGCUAACUACGUGCCAGCAGCCGCGGUAAUACGUAGGGUGCGAGCGUUAAUCGGAAUUACUGGGCGUAAAGGGUGCGCAGGCGGUUUUGUAAGUCAGAUGUGAAAUCCCCGGGCUUAACCUGGGAACUGCGUUUGAAACUACAAGACUAGAGUGUAGCAGAGGGGGGUGGAAUUCCGCGUGUAGCAGUGAAAUGCGUAGAGAUGUGGAGGAACACCGAUGGCGAAGGCAGCCCCCU
Molecule: ribosomal RNA, 528 nt
Filed under: uncultured bacterium
Lineage: Bacteria
Description: bacterial SSU rRNA
Rfam family: Bacterial small subunit ribosomal RNA
Source: RNAcentral